UUAUUUUUUGCGCAGAUUACAUUCAUGAUUUUAUUCAGCAUUAUGUGAGAGCUGACGAAAUACAAGAUUCACUUCAAGAAUUGGAGAUCUUGAAAUUUUGGAUGCUGUGUUUAACAGUAUUGACGGUGAUUGCAUUAAUAUCAAUGUUUUUAUGGACCCGCAAGAGGAAGACAUUGAACAUUGAGAACGGGGGCAAAGAAUCACGAUUAAAAAAUAAUAUGUUUUCUGUAAAGUUCAAAGACAACGCGGUCAGUAUACUCAGCGAGACAAUUGACAACCCGUAGACUGAGAAAAUGAUAUCAGCGCAGACAACGAUGAGCUCGUGAUUCGACCCCCAAGCCAGCACAAUAGACUCGUCGCCGAACAAGCUGCGCUGCAAAGAUGUCACACUUCAGACCCGGGAGUUCAUCGGCUAUGACAACUUAGAGAUGUAGAAAAUGUCCCCCGUGUUCCAUACUAAACUAUAACUGACAAUAUUUUAUAAAAAUGUAUAUAAUUUAUAUUAUAGUCUAUAGAUAGAUGGAUUACCAUCACUUAUCAACAUUUGAACAUUUGUAUCAUAAAUUAUGUAAAUAUAUAUAUUUUUUUAAUAAUAAUAACUAUUUAUUAAUAUUUUACAAUAAUACAAUAUUUAGCUAAUAAUAUAUUCUAGUGUAUUUAUCUCCUGUAAGCAAAUCUUAAGUUGAUAGUAGAGUUAAUUAUGGAAAUUUUACAUUAUAUUAUAGUCUUUGGGUUCAAUAUAAGAACCUUGUUCAGAAAAAUAUUGAAAACGUUUGUGUUCAGUUUUGAAAACUAUUAAAGCGCCUUUUACUAUUUGAAUAAAGUUAGUGAAAUUACUUAAACAUUCUGCAAAAAAUUUUCCUUCACAUAUCAUUUGUUCAACAUAAGUUUUAAUACAAAUAGCAAUACUCACAGAAAAAUCUGUUUCCAUCACAUAAACCUCAAUUUAUAUAACAUUUCUGGGCAUGAUGGGAUUAGCAUAUAAGCAAGA
Long non-coding RNA from Rhopalosiphum padi (bird cherry-oat aphid), 991 nucleotides. RefSeq lists it as uncharacterized. NCBI's taxonomy places the organism in Eukaryota, Metazoa, Arthropoda, Insecta, Hemiptera, Aphididae. The transcript has 3 exons. The record is from RefSeq and is a predicted model, not a curated record.